Molecule: ribosomal RNA, 514 nt
Filed under: bacterium enrichment culture clone ALO1_GLFRUDD03F5ZEX
Lineage: Bacteria
Description: bacterial SSU rRNA
Rfam family: Bacterial small subunit ribosomal RNA
Source: RNAcentral
GAGUUUGAUCGUGGCUCGGAUUGAACGCUGGCGGCAGGCCUAACACAUGCAAGUCGAGCGGAUGACGGGAGCUUGCUCCUUGAUUCAGCGGCGGACGGGUGAGUAAUGCCUGGGAAUCUGCCUGGUAGUGGGGGACAACGUUUCGAAAGGAACGCUAAUACCGCAUACGUCCUACGGGAGAAAGCAGGGGACCUUCGGGCCUUGCGCUAUCAGAUGAGCCUAGGUCGGAUUAGCUAGUUGGUGGGGUAAUGGCUCACCAAGGCGACGAUCCGUAACUGGUCUGAGAGGAUGAUCAGUCACACUGGAACUGAGACACGGUCCAGACUCCUACGGGAGGCAGCAGUGGGGAAUAUUGGACAAUGGGCGAAAGCCUGAUCCAGCCAUGCCGCGUGUGUGAAGAAGGUCUUCGGAUUGUAAAGCACUUUAAGUUGGGAGGAAGGGCAGUAAGUUAAUACCUUGCUGUUUUGACGUUACCGACAGAAUAAGCACCGGCUAACUCUGUGCCAGCCGCCGC